GUAGCUGUGGCUCAGUGGCAGAGCGCUUGCCUACCAUGCAUGAGGCACUGGGUUCAAUCCUCAGUACCAUAUA
This 73-nucleotide transfer RNA is filed under the name Marmota monax (woodchuck). RNAcentral describes it as "tRNA.Gly". It matches the Rfam family "tRNA". From Rfam's summary of the family: Transfer RNA (tRNA) molecules are approximately 80 nucleotides in length. The record is from RNAcentral. Lineage: Eukaryota; Metazoa; Chordata; Mammalia; Rodentia; Sciuridae.